Long non-coding RNA from Astatotilapia calliptera (eastern happy), 1815 nucleotides. The record is from Ensembl. NCBI's taxonomy places the organism in Eukaryota, Metazoa, Chordata, Actinopteri, Cichliformes, Cichlidae.
ACAUGGUUUAGCCUGAUCACUCGGUGUAAACUCUUGAUUAUUGGUCUCAGCCUUUAUCUGAAACCAACCUGACAUCAGGUAACAGAAACACCAGUCCAGCGCAUGCAGAAAUUAUAUUGCUGCACGCCGCAGGAAUAUAACAGCAGAGGGACAUGAUAUAUUUAAAUCCACAAACUCGGUAUUAAACAGAAAAUGUAAUAAGUAGAAAUGAUUAAGUUAGCUUUGGAGAGACAAAGUGUGACAUGGACACAGUGGACUGGUAUCUCUGUUACGUGCCUUGCUGUGAUAUCGAGUUGCUGAAAGGGGUUGAUUUCAGCCAGGAACCGACAUCUGACGAUGCCAAGCGACAACAAGCCCAAGAAAAAGCACAACAUAUGUAAAGUAAUGCAUACAGAAAACAAGAAGGAUGACGCACACAGGACAAGAGAUGUUCACUUUCUGCCAAAACCCACUGAGAGUGAGUGUGAAGUGGGCAGCCAGUGUCCUGCAGAUUCUAGAGGAGAGCCGCUCUCAGAGGCCCCCCUGAAGGCAGCUUGCUUUCAGCCUCACAGGGAGCCAGAGGAGGAUCUGGCUGCCGAGGAAGCAGACGGCCCCGGUGAGAACAAUGACAGAGGUGGUAGUCUACAGAUGGACAUCAGGGAAGUUGACCAAAGUAGCAGGGGCAGGGUGGAGCCCCUGGGUGCAGCUGCCGCCUCCACAUCACUGCAGAUGGACUGUGACUUUAACGAGUUGGCACAGGAGGAGAAGAUCGCUCAAAUGAGAGCCAAACUUAGACAGAGCGAAGCUGCUCUAAACCUGCUUUCUUAAAGUGACCUCACAUUUGUUAGCCUUUUUGUACUGAAUGUUUAGAAUAGACUUUUAUACAUUUGUCUUCUGUGAACACAUGCACAUUAAUAAAAGUGGUGUCGAUGGGCUUAUGUGUUUGGUGAUCCUUUUUGUUUUAUUUAGGCGUCCAAAAACAGAUGUUGUACUAAUGUGGUGUUCUCUUCUCAUUAGGUGCAGUUUAUAGCAAGGUCUUCAAUGUUUGGAUGUUUUUGAUGUGUUAGUUCAUUUCCUUUUGAUAAAACCUCAAACCAUAGCAGCGUAUGGUUUGAUUAUUUCAAGCUGUAGUUUGGUCCCAUUUACAAAGUGAACCAAAUAGUUCUUUGUUAAAAUACUUCUUUUUUCCAGAAUAUAUAAUGUGUUUUUCCUGGUUCAGUAACUAAGACUGUUUUUGUCUUUCUUUCUUAUUUUUUUUAUUUUUUUUUUUAAUCAAGCAUACCAAAUCACACUUUUGUUUUUGUUUAGUAUGAUAGUUUCCCUGAUCACCUUGAAACACCUCCACAGGUCAUGAGUUGGUCUUAUGUUUGUUGAAAGUGCUCCAAACCAUAAACAAUAAAUAUGACUAAUCUUUGUGCAUAUGUUUCAUAAUGAGACUUUUAAUACUAAGACCUGUAAAAAAUCAUUAUUAUUGCUGUUAUUAUUAUUAUUAUUAUUAUUGUUAUUAUUUGGUGACCUAGUGCUGAAAUGGUUGUGGUGUGACUGUUGUCCUUUCUACUCUGCUUUCUCACUCCUUAAAUUAUUUUUCAUAUGCAGGUCUUACACUCUGAGCCUGACAUUUCUUCUGUCAGUGUGGAACAAGAAAGUCAGGACUUUGAAUUGUGACAUAGUGACUGUGCUCACACUCACCUCUCUGCUUUGGUCCCUGAAUGAUUCAAAAUGUUUAGCAUGGACUCAUCUAGUGUUUAAGGUUUUCAUUUCUGUGUUUGAAAUUCAUUUCUAUAGAUGUAUAUCUGAUUGGAAAAUAUGUUUGCAUUAAAAGCAUUCUGUAUGGGG